GACGAACGCUGGCGGCGUGCUUAACACAUGCAAGUCGAACGGAAAGGCCUGCUUUCCCUUGUGGAUUGCGGGUACUCGAGUGGCGAACGGGUGAGUAACACGUGAGUGAUCUGCCCCCAACUUGGGGAUAAGCCUGGGAAACUGGGUCUAAUUCCCGAUAGGACUGCAGGGUGGUGCCUGUGGUGGAAAACGAUUUUCUAGUGGUUGGGGAUGAGCUCGCGGCCUAUCAGCUUGUUGGUGGGGUAAUGGCCUACCAAGGCGGCGACGGGUAGCCGGCCUGAGAGGGUGGACGGCCACAUUGGGACUGAGAUACGGCCCAGACUCCUACGGGAGGCAGCAGUGGGGAAUAUUGCACAAUGGGCGGAAGCCUGAUGCAGCGACGCCGCGUGGGGGAUGACGGCCUUCGGGUUGUAAACUCCUUUCGACCGCGAGGAAGCCACCUGGUUGGAAGGGUGGUGACGGUAGUGGUAGAAGAAGCACCGGCUAACUACGUG
This 494-nucleotide ribosomal RNA is filed under the name uncultured bacterium. RNAcentral's name for it is "partial 16S ribosomal RNA". It matches the Rfam family "Bacterial small subunit ribosomal RNA", at positions 28 to 507 of the family's 1533-position model. The record is from RNAcentral.